This 1219-nucleotide long non-coding RNA is filed under the name Homo sapiens (human). RNAcentral's name for it is "HIF1A stabilizing long noncoding RNA". The record is from RNAcentral. Lineage: Eukaryota; Metazoa; Chordata; Mammalia; Primates; Hominidae.
GUUAAACAAGUGCUUGAAGGCAGUAUGCUUGGUAAAAGUCAUCGCCAUUCUCUAAUCUUGAGUACCCAGGGACACGAUACACUGCGGAAGGCUGCAGGGACCUCUGCCCAGGAAAGCCAGGUGGUUUCCAAAAGGAAAAGCUUUGGGAGAUAGAAGUCCUCGUUUUGACCUCUGCCCUCCUUGUACACCAGGAGCCAGAAAAACUUCAUCUCUUUUACAAGAAACAUUGAGAUUCCUGUAAAAUUAAGAAAUCACACAAUUUGAUGGUCUACAUUAUCUAAAGCAAAUGAGACUUCUAUUUGGAACAAAGACUACCUUGUUGGGAAAUGAGUCUGCAAGUUAAAGUGUUUUCUGGAUCCAGUAUCUGCCGGAGGAGCCCCACCUUCUGCUACUAUUAUGUUCUUCAGAUGAGUAGAAGAGAGUGGGGAGGGAGAGAGCAGGAAGAAGAAAGGAAGAAUAAUGUCUUGAAAUUGUUUUCUAAGGAUAAUGGUCUCCAGCUUCGUCAAUGUUCCUGCAAAGGACAUGAUGCUGACUUUGAAGAUGCAAGCUUCCACAUCUACAGCCUCAAGGAAACAAAUUCAGCCAACCAACUGAGGGAGCUUUCCUUGUCCUGCCUCAAGAUGAGAUCACAGUCUGCCCAACACCAUGAUUUAGGCCUUGUGACACCUGGUAUGGAAGACCCAAGCUCAGAUGGAAAAGAAUGGUGUUACUGAGACCCUUCAAGAUUCCCAGUGUAAUUCAAUAAAGAAAAGGCAACACAAAGGGGUUGUAUAGAAUUCGCCACAUUAUGGACCCAUGUCAUAGAGAGAAUCCACGGUGCAUUUGUUAGCUGCAUUUAAAUGACAACACUUUCAGAUCCAAGAUUUAUUUGGGAUAAAAAUUUACCUGGAUGCAAGGCUAUUCAGAAUGAAGAUUAAUGAUAUGGUUUGGCUGUGUCCCCACCCAAACUUCAUCUUGAAUUCCCACGUGUUGUGAGAGGGACCUGGUGGGAGAUAAUUGAACCAUGGGGGCAGGUCUUUCUCAUGCUGUUCUCAUGAGAGUGAAUAAGUCUCAUGAAACCUGAUGGUUUUAUAAGGGGGAAUUUCCCUGCACAAGCUCUCUCUCUGCCUUUUGCCAUCCAUGUAAGACGUGACUUGGUCCUCCUUGCCUUCUACCAUGAUUAUGAGGCCUCCCCAGCCACGUGGAACUGUGAGUCCAUUAAACCUCUUUCUUUUGUAAA